GGGGGCCCGCACAAGCAGCGGAGCAUGUGGUUUAAUUCGAAGCAACGCGAAGAACCUUACCUAGACUUGACAUCCCCUGCAUAACCCAGAGAUGGGCGAAGUCCUUCGGGACAGGGUGACAGGUGGUGCAUGGUUGUCGUCAGCUCGUGUCGUGAGAUGUUGGGUUAAGUCCCGCAACGAGCGCAACCCUUAUCAUUAGUUGCUACCAUUAAGUUGAGCACUCUAGUGAGACUGCCCGGGUUAACCGGGAGGAAGGUGGGGAUGACGUCAAAUCAUCAUGCCCCUUAUGUCUAGGGCUACACACGUGCUACAAUGGUGAGUACAAAGAGAUGCAAGACCGCAAGGUGGAGCCAAACUCAAAAGCUCAUCCCAGUUCGGAUUGUAGGCUGCAACUCGCCUACAUGAAGCCGGAGUUGCUAGUAAUCGCGAAUCAGCAUGUCGCGGUGAAUACGUUCCCGGGCCUUGUACACACCGCCCGUCACACCAUGAGAGCUGGUAACACCCGAAGUCCGUGAGGUAACCGCAAGGAGCCAGCGGCCGAAGGUGGGAUUAGUGAUUGGGGUGA
RNAcentral lists this ribosomal RNA (565 nucleotides) under uncultured bacterium. Its description in RNAcentral is "bacterial SSU rRNA". It matches the Rfam family "Bacterial small subunit ribosomal RNA", at positions 915 to 1483 of the family's 1533-position model. The record is from RNAcentral.